This 443-nucleotide ribosomal RNA is filed under the name uncultured bacterium. RNAcentral's name for it is "bacterial SSU rRNA". It matches the Rfam family "Bacterial small subunit ribosomal RNA", at positions 338 to 795 of the family's 1533-position model. The record is from RNAcentral.
CCUACGGGGGGCUGCAGUCGAGAAUCUUCCGCAAUGGGCGCAAGCCUGACGGAGCGAUGCCGCGUGAGGGAAGAAGGCCUUCGGGUCGUAAACCUCUGUCACCCGGGACGAAACAAAUGACGGUACCGGGAAAGGAAGCCACGGCUAACCACGUGCCAGCAGCCGCGGUAACACGUGGGUGGCGAGCGUUAUUCGGAUUUACUGGGCGUAAAGGGUCCGCAGGGGGCCUGCCACGCCCGCCGUGAAAUUUCAGGGCUCAACCCUGAACCUGCGGCGGGUACGGGCGGGCUGGAGUGCAGGAUGGGCAGACGGAAUUCCAGGUGUAGCGGUGGAAUGCGUAGAUAUCUGGAAGAACACCGAUGGCGAAGGCGGUCUGCUGGCCUGCAACUGACCCUCAGGGACGAGAGCGUGGGUAGCAAACAGGAUUAGAUACCCCAGUAGUC